GAUGAACGCUGGCGGCGUGCCUAAUACAUGCAAGUCGAGCGAACAGACGAGGAGCUUGCUCCUCUGACGUUAGCGGCGGACGGGUGAGUAACACGUGGAUAACCUACCUAUAAGACUGGGAUAACUUCGGGAAACCGGAGCUAAUACCGGAUAAUAUAUUGAACCGCAUGGUUCAAUAGUGAAAGACGGUUUUGCUGUCACUUAUAGAUGGAUCCGCGCCGCAUUAGCUAGUUGGUAAGGUAACGGCUUACCAAGGCAACGAUGCAUAGCCGACCUGAGAGGGUGAGCGGCCACACUGGAACUGAGACCGGGCCCAGACCCCUACGGGAGGCAGCAGUAGGGAAUCUUCCGCAAUGGGCGAAAGCCUGACGGAGCAACGCCGCGUGAGUGAUAAAGGUCUUCGGAUCUAAAAACUCUGUUAUUAGGGAAAAACAUAUGUGUAAGUAACUGUGCACUUCUUGACGUUACCUAAUCAGAAAGCCACGGCUAACUACGUG
RNAcentral lists this ribosomal RNA (497 nucleotides) under uncultured bacterium. Its description in RNAcentral is "partial 16S ribosomal RNA". It matches the Rfam family "Bacterial small subunit ribosomal RNA", at positions 28 to 507 of the family's 1533-position model. The record is from RNAcentral.